AGCCAUGCCGCGUGUGUGAAGAAGGCCCUCGGGUUGUAAAGCACUUUCAGCGAGGAAGAACGCCUAUCGGUUAAUACCCGGUAGGAAAGACAUCACUCGCAGAAGAAGCACCGGCUAACUCCGUGCCAGCAGCCGCGGUAAUACGGAGGGUGCAAGCGUUAAUCGGAAUUACUGGGCGUAAAGCGCGCGUAGGUGGCUUGAUAAGCCGGUUGUGAAAGCCCGGGCUCAACCUGGGAACGGCAUCCGGAACUGUCAGGCUAGAGUGCAGGAGAGGAAGGUAGAAUUCCCGGUGUAGCGGUGAAAUGCGUAGAGAUCGGGAGGAAUACCAGUGGCGAAGGCGGCCUUCUGGACUGACACUGACACUGAGGUGCGAAAGCGUGGGUAGCAAACAGGAUUAGAUACCCUGGUAGUCCACGCCGUAAACGAUGUCGACCAGCCGUUGGGUGCCUAGAGCACUUUGUGGCGAAGUUAACGCGAAAGUCGACCGCCUGGGGAGUACGGCCGCAAGGUUAAAACUCAAAUGAAUUGACGGGGGCCCGCACAAGCGGUGGAGCAUGUGGUUUAAUUCGAUGCAACGCGAAGAACCUUACCUACCCUUGACAUCUACAGAAGCCGGAAGAGAUUCUGGUGUGCCUUCGGGAACUGUAAGACAGGUGCUGCAUGGCUGUCGUCAGCUCGUGUUGUGAAAUGUUGGGUUAAGUCCCGUAACGAGCGCAACCC
RNAcentral lists this ribosomal RNA (720 nucleotides) under Halomonas sp. NY93B. Its description in RNAcentral is "bacterial SSU rRNA". It matches the Rfam family "Bacterial small subunit ribosomal RNA", at positions 390 to 1104 of the family's 1533-position model. Lineage: Bacteria; Pseudomonadati; Pseudomonadota; Gammaproteobacteria; Oceanospirillales; Halomonadaceae. The record is from RNAcentral.